This 2661-nucleotide long non-coding RNA is filed under the name Anas platyrhynchos platyrhynchos (common mallard). Its description in RNAcentral is "lncRNA (ENSAPLG00000025090.1)". Lineage: Eukaryota; Metazoa; Chordata; Aves; Anseriformes; Anatidae. The record is from RNAcentral.
UGAUUGCUUAUAUGGGCAGCUAGCACACCUUAAGAAGUAAGAAAGGUUCAGACAGGAAUAUAAUAAGGCCUGGGAAAGUGGCAGCAUGAAAGGGAUGACCUUUAUUUGCAAUCAUAGCUGAGAUUUACAGUUUAUUACUGAUAGCUUUUAUAAAGAGCCAUUCAGUUCAGAGGUGAGAGGUUUGUCAUCUGGAAAUGCAAUUAACUUUAGCCUUAUCCCAAUCCCCCUGGUCUUAGUGUGAGAGCAGCACUUCAGCAAUAUCAUGAUUUUCCCUCUAAUUUCUUUUUUCCCUACAUUUUUGUCUCUCAUAUCCCUUGUUCUUUGGCAUAAAUGCAGGUGCAUGUUUUUCGCUGCUAUUAUAUCAUUAUUAUUAGAUGCACCUUUGAAUUUUUUAUUAGAUCCAACUUGAUUUUUGAAUGAGAAGAUUUCAAAGAAGAGUGACAUUUAAACUGGAGAAGAGCUAAGAUAACUCAUGGAAUGAAAUUGUGCUAUAUAUGUCAAAAAUUAAUUACAGACAUGGAAUAUUUCAAAUAAAAAAAAGGUGGGGGAGAAACAGUUGAUUUUUCAAUAGCAGUGAUGGUUGCUCUUUUUCACUCAGAGCCCGUACACUGACACCUAUCCUUGCACCUGCACACUUCAGCCUUGAUGCUUGGCAAUGUGCGCUUGUACAUCAACCAGAUGUGGUUGCACUGUGCAUGUCUGAAUACACGCACCCCGUGGAAAACACCACGAACAAAUGCAAGCACUUCUGGUGUCCCUGCUGUGUGCACAGGAGAUCUCCCCAAAGGUCUCUUUCUGUUUCACAGGUUUGCUUUCACAGCCCCCUUGUCUGCUCAGGCUGCUCUGCAGGAAUGUCAGAACCAGACAAAAGCGAGAGCCCCACUCCCAGCCACUGUCCCGGUUUUUGGGAGCCCACCCCAGGGUGCCAGCACUGUGGCUCCAGCCCCUGGGUCUGCCCCGCGGGUCUGGCAGUGCCCGCCCGGGGAGGCAGUGGCUGGCUGCAGGGACUCAGCAAACUCCUGCCGGCUCUGUUUACUCCAGGGUAAACUAGAGCAGAAUAAUUACUACCACUGUGUUUUUCAUCCCUAUUUUAUUCUUCUGCUUUUUAAAAAAUAAAUGUUAAUCUUACCUUCUAGCUACAUCUAUUUACAGUUCAUUAUAGGCUUGUGGUUAAAGCAAAAACUAUAUGAACUAUUUUUAUCUAAAUUAAAAAGAAUCCAUUAAAAUUCUUAAAACCAUGAGAAAUGACAGUCUGAUAUCAACCAGUUUCACGGUCUCUUCAUUAGUGGUCUUACUGGUCAUCUGGAUGCUGCCUUACUCUUGAGUCUGUUUUCAUUUUUCCUAUGAAAUAUUUCAGAUAGUUGUGAAAGGGUGUUAAAAACCUGCUAUGCUUCCCACUUUCACAUAGCUUAGCUAUGGCAAAAAAAAUCUAAACAUUUGGCUCAGAGCACAUCCAUGUCAAACACCAAAUGCAGUUGUAUUCUUAAAGACAAAACAAACAAAAAACCGCACACACAAAAACAAACAAACAAACAAAACACCAUAAUGAAGAAUAUUGUUUUGCUGGAUGGGAACACUCUCCUUCCCUGAAAUCUUUGAAAAUCUCAAAGAUGCAAAAGGGUUUCUGUAUCAUUUAUGAUUCAUAAGUGGAUCAGUGUUAUUAAAAUCCACAGGAGCCCUUUGUUCAUCUAGUCAGUCAAAGAGCUGCCCAUCAGUCACUGUUCUGUGCAGGAGCAUCCUUCUGCAGGUUUCAUCUGUUUUUUCAAUAACCCCUUGGUGUAAAAAAAAAAAAAAAAAAAAAAAAAUCAGCUAAUUAUGCCACUGAAGUACAAAGAUUAUUAACUCUAGAAGACUCUUGUGCUUUAGCCUUAUAGACAUUCCAAAAGUGAUCUCUUAAGCAAAGGAAGCAGGUUACAGUACCCUUUCUGCACUGCAUAUUUCCCUAAUAUGUAUUUCCCUAGCCCUCUUACCAUGUAAUUUUUGUUGUGUUUAUAAAUUGCUAGUGGUCAGGAUUUUUGCCGUUAAUACUGAAAACAAUUAACAAUGAAAGCAAGGUAAUUUAGGUUUCUUAGAAAGGAGAAAAUAGCAUGUGAAGAAAUUGAUGCACUUUCACAAAUCUUGCUUUGUUAUUAUUUAUCUUAAAAUUCAUAUUUCUACAUUGUGUUUCUGUUCUCUACAAACAUGUAGUGCCUAACAGCUUUGCUGUUCUGCUGUGUUCAUGCAAGAAACCUGGCUAGAAACAGAGGUUAAAAGAAGGCAGCAUAUAGAUGACUUUUAAAGCCAGCAUCUAAUUUGUUUGUUUACAUGAUAGCCAGUACAGCCCAGUAUUUCUCUCAGGUUGCAUAUUGCAAAAACAAAAAUUCUCAGAGGGGUCAGGCGUUGGAACAGGUUCCCCAGGGAAGUGGGGGAGUCGCUGGGGAACGUGAUUUAGUGGGCAAUAUUGGUGGUAGGUGGACGGUUGGACCAGGUGAUCACAGAGGUUUUCUCCAGCCUUAAUGGUUCCACGAUUCUAUGAUUUUUCUUAGUUUCUAGAGCCCACCGUUAAAUGUAUGUACUGCAAAAGAGAAGUAAGAGUUGCGUGGCAAUUACACAGGAGACUGUGGUAAAGUGAGCAGUGAUAACAUGAAUAAAAGAGAUAAUUAGGCUUUUUUUCUCUUUCUG